RNAcentral lists this transfer RNA (68 nucleotides) under Leptomithrax sp. QNL-2021. RNAcentral's name for it is "tRNA-Gln". It matches the Rfam family "tRNA". From Rfam's summary of the family: Transfer RNA (tRNA) molecules are approximately 80 nucleotides in length. Their secondary structure includes four short double-helical elements and three loops (D, anti-codon, and T loops). Further hydrogen bonds mediate the characteristic L-shaped molecular structure. tRNAs have two regions of fundamental functional importance: the anti-codon, which is responsible for specific mRNA codon recognition, and the 3' end, to which the tRNAs corresponding amino acid is attached (by aminoacyl-tRNA synthetases). tRNAs cope with the degeneracy of the genetic code in two manners: having more than one tRNA (with a specific anti-codon) for a particular amino acid; and 'wobble' base-pairing, i.e. permitting non-standard base-pairing at the 3rd anti-codon position. The record is from RNAcentral. Lineage: Eukaryota; Metazoa; Arthropoda; Malacostraca; Decapoda; Majidae.
UACUUAUUGGUGUAAGAGCAUGGAAAAUUUUGAUUUUUUAGGUUGUGGUUUAAAUCCAUGAUAAGUAU